GAUGAAGAACGUAGCGAAAUGCGAUAAGUAAUGUGAAUUGCAGAAUUCAGUGAAUCAUCGAAUCUUUGAACGCACAUUGCGCCCAUUAGUAUUCUGGCGGGCAUGCCUGUUCGAGCGUCAUUUCAACCAUCAAGCCCUGCUUGUGUUGGGGUCCUGCGGCUGCCCGCAGGCCCUGAAAACCAGUGGCGGGCUCGCUAGUCACACCGAGCGCAGUAGCACAUCUCGCUCAGGGCGUGCGGCGGGUUCUUGCCGUAAAACACCCCCUUUUUACCAAGGUUGACCUCGGAUCAGGUAGGAAUACCCGCUGAACUUAAGCAUAUCAAUAAGCGGAGGA
This 334-nucleotide unclassified non-coding RNA is filed under the name soil metagenome. RNAcentral's name for it is "partial contains 5.8S ribosomal RNA, internal transcribed spacer 2, and large subunit ribosomal RNA". The stretch from base 1 to 120 matches the Rfam family "5.8S ribosomal RNA", at positions 35 to 154 of the family's 154-position model. The record is from RNAcentral.